AACGUACGCUGGCGGCACGCCUAACACAUGCAAGUCGAACGCAGUAGCAAUACUGAGUGGCGAACGGGUGAGUAUAAUGUGGGUAUCUGCCUUUUGGUUUGGAAUAACACGAGGAAACUUGUGCUAAUACCGGAUAAGCCCUUACGGGGAAAGUUUAAACGCCGAAAGAUGAGCCCGCACUUGAUUAGCUAGUUGGUAAGGUAAUGGCUUACCAAGGCUACGAUCAAUAGCUGAUCUGAGAGGAUGAUCAGCCACAUUGGGACUGAGACACGGCCCAGGCUCCUACGGGAGGCAGCAGUGGGGAAUCUUGCACAAUGGGGGAAACCUUGAUGCAGCGAUGCCGCGUGAGUGAAGAAGGCCUUUGGGUUGUAAAGCUCUUUCGUCGGGGAAGAAAAUGACUGUACCCGAAUAAGAAGGUCCGGCUAACUUCGUGCCAGCAGCCGCGGUAAUACGAAGGGACCUAGCGUAGUUCGGAAUUACUGGGCUUAAAGAGCUCGUAGGUGGUUAGAAAAGUUGGUGGUGAAAUCCCAAGGCUUAACCUUGGAACUGCCACCAAAACUUUUUGACUAGAGUAUGAUAGAGGAAAGUGGAAUUUCUAGUGUAGAGGUGAAAUUCGUAGAUAUUAGAAAGAACACCAAUUGCGAAGGCAACUUUCUGGAUCAUUACUGACACUGAGGAGCGAAAGCAUGGGUAGCGAAGAGGAUUAGAUACCCUCGUAGUCCAUGCCGUAAACGAUGUGUGCUAGACGUUGGAAAUUUAGUUUUCAGUGUCGCAGCGAAAGCGUUAAGCACACCGCCUGGGGAGUACGACCGCAAGGUUAAAACUCAAAUGAAUUGACGGGGACCCGCACAAGUAGUGGAGCAUGUGGUUUAAUUCGAAGAUACGCGCAGAACCUUACCAACACUUGACAUGUUCGU
This 917-nucleotide ribosomal RNA is filed under the name uncultured bacterium. RNAcentral's name for it is "bacterial SSU rRNA". It matches the Rfam family "Bacterial small subunit ribosomal RNA", at positions 28 to 993 of the family's 1533-position model. The record is from RNAcentral.